RNAcentral lists this ribosomal RNA (446 nucleotides) under uncultured bacterium. RNAcentral's name for it is "partial 16S ribosomal RNA". It matches the Rfam family "Bacterial small subunit ribosomal RNA", at positions 338 to 795 of the family's 1533-position model. The record is from RNAcentral.
CCUACGGGUGGCAGCAGUCGAGAAUCAUUCACAAUGGGGGAAACCCUGAUGGUGCGACGCCGCGUGGGGGAAUGAAGGUCUUCGGAUUGUAACCCCCUGUCAUGUGGGCGCAAAUUAAAAAGAUAGUACCACAAGAGGAAGAGACAGCUAACUCCGCGCCAGCAGCCGCGGUAAUACAGAGGUCUCAAGCGUUGUUCGGAAUCACGGGGGGUAAAGCGUGCGUAGGCUGUUGCGUAAGUCGUGUGUGAAAGGCGCGGGCUCAACCCGCGGACGGCACAUGAUACUGCGAGACUAGAGUGAUGGAGGGGGAACCGGAAUUCUCGGUGUAGCAGUGAAAUGCGUAGAUAUCGAGAGGAACACUCGUGGCGAAGGCGGGUUCCUGGACAUUAACUGACGCUGAGGCACGAAGGCCAGGGGAGCGAAAGGGAUUAGAUACCCCUGUAGUC